Molecule: long non-coding RNA, 581 nt
Filed under: Homo sapiens (human)
Lineage: Eukaryota; Metazoa; Chordata; Mammalia; Primates; Hominidae
Description: HSALNT0293239
Source: RNAcentral
UUUAGAACCAACCACAUGCCAGGCCUCAUACUAGCUGACCAAUAUACACAGUGUUUGGCAAAAGCUAAGGUGAUGGUGUGCCAGUUCUGCUCUCUGCUGUAUCUGUGUCCUGUUUCCUUAUGUCGUUUGUAAUUUUUGAUCACAAGCACAUUUUCAACAAGCUCAUUGGAGCCACCAGCUGAAAGCAAGGGAGUGAAUGAGCCCAGCCCCGAGUGGAGCAGAAGGAGCCCAACCAGCGAAGCCCAGCCUGAAUUCCUGACUAACAGACUUAACAGGUGGAUUUUUGGGUUUGCUGAAGAAGAAAAAGAAGGAGAAGGAGAAGGAGAAGAAGAAGAGAAGUGUGAUUAACAAGAAAAAAACUUAUUUGGGGGCUAUGAACACCUUGAAUAUUUAACAGAAUAUCAGCUACUCAUCUGUAACCAUUCACUACAUAGCUAAACUUUUAGUAAUAAUGUAGGUAUUCUCUGGCCAAGAGAAAGAUAGGAUGUGUGUGUGUGUGUGUGUGUGUGUGUGUGUGUGUGUGUGUGUGUGUGUUUAACAGAAGAAAAUGGAAAGAAAAUAAAAUAAAGGAUAUUUUGGAG